UAGGGAAUCUUCCGCAAUGGGCGAAAGCCUGACGGAGCAACGCCGCGUGAGUGAUGAAGGUCUUCGGAUCGUAAAACUCUGUUAUUAGGGAAGAAUAAAUGUGUAAGUAACUAUGCACGUCUUGACGGUACCUAAUCAGAAAGCCACGGCUAACUACGUGCCAGCAGCCGCGGUAAUACGUAGGUGGCAAGCGUUAUCCGGAAUUAUUGGGCGUAAAGCGCGCGUAGGCGGUUUUUUAAGUCUGAUGUGAAAGCCCACGGCUCAACCGUGGAGGGUCAUUGGAAACUGGAAAACUUGAGUGCAGAAGAGGAAAGUGGAAUUCCAUGUGUGACGGUGAAAUGCGUAGAUAUAUGGAGGAACACCAGUGGCGAAGGCGACUCUCUGGUCUGUAACUGACGCUGAGGCUCAAAAGCGUGGGUAGCAAACAGG
RNAcentral lists this ribosomal RNA (429 nucleotides) under Bacteroidota bacterium. RNAcentral's name for it is "Bacteroidetes bacterium partial 16S ribosomal RNA". It matches the Rfam family "Bacterial small subunit ribosomal RNA", at positions 355 to 776 of the family's 1533-position model. The record is from RNAcentral. Lineage: Bacteria; Pseudomonadati; Bacteroidota.